GUGUCAGCAGCCGCGGUAAGACGAGGGGUCCUAGCGUUGUUCGGAAUCAUUGGGCGUAAAGCGUAGGUAGGCGGCUAUUUAAGUCAGGUGUGAAAGCCCCGGGCUCAACCCGGGAAGUGCAUUUGAUACUGGAUAGCUUGAGUAUGGGAGAGGAUAGUGGAAUUCCUGGUGUAGUGGUGAAAUACGUAGAUAUCAGGAGGAACACCGGUGGCGAAGGCGGCUAUCUGGCCCUAUACUGACGCUGAGCUACGAAAGCGUGGGGAGCAAACAGGAUUAGAUACCCUGGUAGUCCACGCCGUAAACGAUGGAUACUUGGUGUUGGAGGUAUUGACCCCUUCAGUGCCGAAGCUAACGCGUUAAGUAUCCCGCCUGGGGAGUACGGCCGCAAGGUUAAA
This 395-nucleotide ribosomal RNA is filed under the name uncultured bacterium. Its description in RNAcentral is "bacterial SSU rRNA". It matches the Rfam family "Bacterial small subunit ribosomal RNA", at positions 505 to 898 of the family's 1533-position model. The record is from RNAcentral.